RNAcentral lists this ribosomal RNA (253 nucleotides) under uncultured bacterium. Its description in RNAcentral is "partial 16S ribosomal RNA". It matches the Rfam family "Bacterial small subunit ribosomal RNA", at positions 524 to 776 of the family's 1533-position model. The record is from RNAcentral.
UACGUAGGUGGCAAGCGUUGUCCGGAUUUAUUGGGUUUAAAGGGUGCGUAGGCGGCUUUGUAAGUCAGUGGUGAAAUAUGGCAGCUCAACUGUCAAGGUGCCAUUGAUACUGCGGAGCUUGAGUACAGAUGAGGUAGGCGGAAUUGGCGGUGUAGCGGUGAAAUGCUUAGAUAUCGUCAAGAACACCUAUAGCGAAGGCAGCUUACUAGGCUGUAACUGACGCUGAGGCACGAAAGUGUGGGGAUCAAACAGG